CCACACUUUUAUGCAUAAGUGCACGGUAAUAUUGACUACUGUAGAAAUUGUCCAUUCAGUGCUCGGUUAUAAAUAUUCACUAGAGCGCAACCGGCAGAUGGGGCGAAUGUGUCUGGUAUCUCUCUCCAUCAUCUGAAGUUUCCACACCUUUAAAAUUACCCUUUUAAUUCACAUUCUUCGCGGUCUCUGUUUGAUUAUCCUAUCCUGCUCGAUUUUCACAUCAGCUAUAAAUCAAUUGACACAUGAUGAGAUGAGGGAUCUGCACACAACUGUGAAUGGAGCGUUAACGGGAGAAGUCGGCACGCGCUUCUUGUUCACACACACCCAACGCUUGGACAAAGGUAGGACAUUUUUUACACCUUCAAAUGUAUUUUUCUAAUAACUGCAUGAAUUUGACAUUCCCAAAGUAUCAGCAAGUGGUGUAUGUGUGUUUCUAUAUUUCAGUUUUAUUGUAACCUGUAUGUGCAUAUCGUUAUUGUAUUUCAAUGUAUUUAUGUUUGUGAAUAAUCAAGGAUUUUGCAUGUGUUGGAGCUGUCCCCAAAACUCACUAAAUAAAUGAUUUAUUCUCCAUUCCUGUGUGUGUGCAUAGUGUGUGUGAUUGCUAUGUGUGUUCUGAAUGUGUGCAUAUCAAGGCUAUGGGUACUCUGAGGGACCUGCAGUUUGCGCUGCAGCUGAAGAUCGAGGAGCUCCGUCAGAGAGACACUCUGAUAGAUGAGCUGGAGUUGGAGCUGGACACUAAAGAUGACCUCAUCAGACAGCUGCACCGCAAAGCUCCACAACACCCAGGGACCACUGGGAGCACUGAGAGCACAGUGCCUGAUGAGCCGCAGCGAACUAAGAGACAGGCAAUAUCAGCAGAACCCAGUGCCCUGGGCCCUGCCGAACUCACACACGUCACACUCACCAACUACAGCAAGAGCGAGGUGUAAGUACACAAACACAUGCAUACACAUUCACACACACAUACAUUCUCUCUCUCUCUCUCUCUCUCUCUCUCUCUCUCACACACACACACACAAACACUUUCUCCAUGUACAGGUCUAGAGAGCUGAUCCAGAGGGCUCUGCUGGAGAAUGACUUAAUGAAACACCUGGAGCAGGGACAGGUACUAUGACUAUAUAGUAUUAGUGUAAUACUGCUGUAGUAUUACUCUCAAUGUCUUUGAUGGAUAUCCAUUUAUAUACACUGCUCAAAAAAAUAAAGGGAAC
This 1208-nucleotide long non-coding RNA is filed under the name Salmo trutta (river trout). Its description in RNAcentral is "lncRNA (ENSSTUG00000043552.1)". The record is from RNAcentral. Lineage: Eukaryota; Metazoa; Chordata; Actinopteri; Salmoniformes; Salmonidae.